This is a long non-coding RNA of Vespula pensylvanica (western yellowjacket), 869 nucleotides long. RefSeq lists it as uncharacterized. NCBI's taxonomy places the organism in Eukaryota, Metazoa, Arthropoda, Insecta, Hymenoptera, Vespidae. The record is from RefSeq and is a predicted model, not a curated record. The transcript is spliced from 3 exons.
GACGACGACGACGACGACGACGACGACUACUACUACGACGCAGCAAUCUUCGUCAUUGGUGUAUUUCUUUCUCUUUUUCUUUUGUUUUUUUUUUCUUUUUCCGGCAACGUAGGAGCGUGCGCGAUCACCGACAUUGAAGAGAAUCGUCAAGAUUGGAAACAUCGUCCAUUGUAUUUCGUACUUCGCACUUGGACUACCAAUAAAGUCUUUGAGCCUAGUCGAGUCUGAAUUUACUACGUCGUUCAUUAACGUCAAUCGUUGAAAAUUCCGAGGAAGAACAGAAGAUUUCUAAUGUGUUUAAAAGAUUAUAACAUUCUAUUAAACAAAAAAUCAUCUACUUGACAAUCAUUCAAUUUGACAAUUCAUUCGGAUAGUCGAGAUUAGAACGUAGGCGUGGGUGAUCGAACAAUGAAUGCAUUUAUGAAAUGCAUUCCUUUUAAUAAUCAAUAUAUUUUAUAUUAAUUGUAAGAAAUACAAUGAAGAACUACGUGAUACGUCCGAUCUGUUGUGAUCGAUGGUUCGAGAAACAAAUGAAGAAGGAAAAAUAAAAGAUCGCUAUAGACAUCAUGUCAUCGGUAACAUUCGUCCAGCUUUGUUCUGGUCAGACUAUCCUUCGAUAAUUAAGCUUUAACAGCCGUGGGCACUCCGGUUCGUGUAUAAUGAUCGAUCGAUAUGAAUUACGAUCUCUCGAAAGAAGGAUAGAUUCUUUCGGGUUGCUUAUGAAGGAAUAAAAAAGAAAGACAGAGAUGAUGUUGAGUUAAUCGAAUGUCUAAAAUCGAUUAUAUAUUUAAAGGAGGGAAGACGGAAGGAGGAAGAUAUAAAAAAUGUAUCAUUUAUACAUACAAACGUCCCCGACAUUGGCACUUACU